RNAcentral lists this transfer RNA (76 nucleotides) under Vibrio sp. sp1. RNAcentral describes it as "tRNA-Asp". It matches the Rfam family "tRNA". Rfam says of the family: Transfer RNA (tRNA) molecules are approximately 80 nucleotides in length. Their secondary structure includes four short double-helical elements and three loops (D, anti-codon, and T loops). Further hydrogen bonds mediate the characteristic L-shaped molecular structure. tRNAs have two regions of fundamental functional importance: the anti-codon, which is responsible for specific mRNA codon recognition, and the 3' end, to which the tRNAs corresponding amino acid is attached (by aminoacyl-tRNA synthetases). tRNAs cope with the degeneracy of the genetic code in two manners: having more than one tRNA (with a specific anti-codon) for a particular amino acid; and 'wobble' base-pairing, i.e. permitting non-standard base-pairing at the 3rd anti-codon position. Lineage: Bacteria; Pseudomonadati; Pseudomonadota; Gammaproteobacteria; Vibrionales; Vibrionaceae. The record is from RNAcentral.
GGAGUGGUAGUUCAGUUGGUUAGAAUACCGGCCUGUCACGCCGGGGUCGCGGGUUCGAGUCCCGUCUACUCCGCCA